RNAcentral lists this ribosomal RNA (246 nucleotides) under Escherichia coli. Its description in RNAcentral is "partial 16S ribosomal RNA". It matches the Rfam family "Bacterial small subunit ribosomal RNA", at positions 84 to 333 of the family's 1533-position model. The record is from RNAcentral. Lineage: Bacteria; Pseudomonadati; Pseudomonadota; Gammaproteobacteria; Enterobacterales; Enterobacteriaceae.
UUCGCUGACGAGUGGCGGACGGGUGAGUAAUGUCUGGGAAACUGCCUGAUGGAGGGGGAUAACUACUGGAAACGGUAGCUAAUACCGCAUAACGUCGCAAGACCAAAGAGGGGGACCUUCGGGCCUCUUGCCAUCGGAUGUGCCCAGAUGGGAUUAGCUAGUAGGUGGGGUAACGGCUCACCUAGGCGACGAUCCCUAGCUGGUCUGAGAGGAUGACCAGCCACACUGGAACUGAGACACGGUCCA